CUCCCUGGUACCAUACCCCAGCCGAUGAGUAUGUACCCCCAGAAGUACUUCCGCUCAGAGAAGAAGGAGACGGCAAGCAGGGUGUACAGGAAGGCCCAGAACCAGCCUGCUGUCAGGAUCAGAACAAAAGAGGAGGACUGCAUAUGUAUGGACCCACUCCAGAUGGCAUGGGGACGGGGGGAGUAGGAAAAGUGGCAUGGUGAGCAGAGCCCUGGCUAUGCAGGUGGCAGAUGACUGAUUAGAAAACCAGCUCAAGGUCAUGUUGCUGCUCUCUCAUUCCUGUUGAGGGCUCUCUGGUGGAGCCUCUGUCUCACAGGUCACCUGCAGGCCAACACUCCCAGAAGCAGCUAGCACCAUGGUUGACCUCGUCCA
This 372-nucleotide non-coding RNA is filed under the name Pan troglodytes (chimpanzee). The record is from RNAcentral. Lineage: Eukaryota; Metazoa; Chordata; Mammalia; Primates; Hominidae.